This is a long non-coding RNA of Dromaius novaehollandiae (emu), 10633 nucleotides long. RefSeq lists it as uncharacterized. The transcript has 3 exons. The record is from RefSeq and is a predicted model, not a curated record. NCBI's taxonomy places the organism in Eukaryota, Metazoa, Chordata, Aves, Casuariiformes, Dromaiidae.
UGUGUACAAUUAGCAAUCUGUCAGUGCAUAGGUGGGGCAGGUCACAGGGAAGCAAUGCUUGUAACAGCUUUUAUCUACAGCUUGAUUUAAUACCUGCCUGCCGAAGAUGGGCAUGUAAAUCAUAAAGCCAGCUCAGGGCACGCAGAUGGACAAGUUGAGUAAAGCAAGCAUAAACCUCUGGUUUGUCUGUGUUAAUGUGCAGUUAAAUCUGUGGGACCCGGAAGGAUGAGGUGCUUUCCAUCCCGUGGAUGGAGCAUGGGGAAAGCUGUGGUACAGUGCUGGAGAGCAGCGACAGCCCAUCGGUUCCGGCAGAGCUGCAGUGGAGAAGGUCCGUCUAACAAUGGCCCCUUCUUGGUCAGUGUAUCUGUUCCCUGUGUGUCUUGGAGUCAUGUCAGUGAAGCAAACAGAUUGGGAACAUAUUUGUACUCCCCACAGCAGUACAGAAGCCAACGCAGGCAGAGGAGUGCAAGCUGGGCUCUUUUCUGCUCCCUGCCUCAGUGCCAAGUUUCCAGCUCUGCUCCAGACCUGUGGCCGAGCCCUGCUUUGGCAGGGGUGAAGGGAGAGGACGGGCAGGGUCAGGAAAUGCUCUGCUUCAGCUCACGUUUGUAGAAGUUGGCAGCUGGCUACGAAAGAGGGGAGCUAGAUUUAACUUGUAAACAGUUACAUGCCACCUCUGAAAGCCCCCACAAGAGAUUAAAUCUGGCACUGUGCAGCCUCGUCCUCCUCCCCAGCCAUGCUUCAACAAAUGAGACCAAGAACUGCAUUCACCUGGACAACCCACAGAUGCUGCAAGAGGGCUUGUCCCAGGGGCCAGAGCUACUUUCAGGAAGCUUCCCCAAGCCCAGCAGGAGUCCCAGGAGCCCAGGAUUUCUCUCCUGACCUUCAUGUACGCAUUCCACUACAUGGGCACUUAACCUUUGAGGCUCCUUUGAAAAUCCCAGCCACAGCGUUUUACGGAUGAGUAUGUUUCCCCUAACAUCUGCCCCCGUAUCCGAUGCUGCCAGAGCCUCUCUCUCUCCUGGCUCUGCUCCCAGCUGCAGGAUGGACAAUAGGCAUCUGAAUGCAGGCUCCGCUUCCCCUCCCUCACAGCCCGAGGGAGAUGGCACAUCAGAGCCAAGACGGGGCUGAGAGCACGGCAUGCCAGCGAGCGACAAAUCACUCUGAUCAUGGCUUGCCUUUUCUUUCCCUUCCAGUGUAGCUGAACCCCUGGGGGUUAUGGCUGUUACAGGCCAUGCAGGCCAGCGCUGGGCACUAAAUCCUGGCAGAGUCCAGCCAGCAAAACUGAAGGGGUCUUUCCUCAGCACACCACUGCUGGAGCCAGUCCGAUCCCUCUGUGAGUGCUGCUGGAAGCGACUAACCUCCUGUGCUCCCAACCCUGCUGGCCACAGCGCUGCAGAAUGGAGCUCUCGUGUACCCCUCUGCCAUGCCGGCUCACCUGGAAACGCCGGCAGCCUCUUGGAUUUCCCCUUGCUCACUCUAAACAGCAUCUAGCUGCAGUUAACUGACCCAGGCAGUGCACGUGGCACAGAGAGGAGCGGUUCCACCUGCAGGAGGUUUGACUGGGGUUGAGUGAGAGCUGGCUCGGAUCCUCUUAAGGAGCCAUUGUCCCAUCUUUCUAGAAAUAGCUCUGCUUCUCACAUCUUGGAGCUGUUCAGCCUGUUUGGCACCGUCUCUACUGCUGCAGAGACAGACAACAACAACAGAGAGUGAGAAAAACCUGUCUAGACACCAUUUACCUUCCAUCGGCUCCCACUGCCGCUUCAAACAAACCUGAAAACUGGCCAGGUAAUAAUCCCUGGCUCUCCUAAGCCUGUUCCAGCCAGAGGGCAGUCAGGACCAUCCUAUCACGCUUCAGAGCUCAUCUUUAAUCCAAUCUUUUCUGAGAACAGGAAGAGAAGUACAGGAACAUCAACGGAGUUACCUGGCCUCGGACUACUCAAGUGGGGGCUAUGUCCUUUCUGCUCAGCAUCCAGGUGCAAAGAGAAAUCUCAUCUGUCUUCUAACAGCAAGCUGCAAACAUCUAGCACCUUUGAAAAGCAUCCAUACAAGGCAACCCUCUCUGCAAUACUCCCCGAGCCUGGGUACAAGUGCCGCUGGAGACAGCAGUCAGUGACUGCACAGGCUCUCUCUUCUCACUACUGUACAGCACAUGGCAUACGGCUUGCCAGCAUACUGGAUUCAUCUGAAAUUGGCUAAGGCAGAGUGCUAUGCUCCAAAAAGCCACUGAAGGGCAAUCCAAAUGCUCUGCUGCUGAGCAGCCAUGGACUGUUUCAGACACGGUUCUACACUUGAAAAGGGGUCGCAACACGAGGGCACAGUUAUCCAGCUUUGCAGUCCUAAAAGCCACAGUCAGGACUGGGGUCUUCACCGCACCAGGUACUGUUUUGAAACACUCUGAAGAGACCUGAAACUUCAUGUUUCAUUUCUCCAAAGGGCAGCUAGUUACAGCGAGCUCCAUGCACAAGGCACAGGAUGAUUGUUCCAUGCACCUCAUCCAAACACCAUGGUGGGCACUUUCCCAGGACUGGGAACAGCCAUUUUGUAGUAAGCCAGCCAGGCCAACUGGCAUUUUAUUUGCAGUCCAACUUGUUUUUGCACCUGUUCAGAUCUUGGAUUCCUUAUCUUUCCAAAGCCAUACACACAAAUGCUAUGCAAGCUUUGCUACAACACAAAGAUGAAGAAUAUCAUCCUAUGACACCAAAGGAAAUUGAGGUCACCAAGAGCUACAAGUAACUUCCCCACCAUGAGGCAGCAAGGAGUGGGACAAGGUCACAGAAGCUCAGGGUAAAUGCUCAAGACACCUUGAAAUCAGAGGGGCAGAAGCAUGAAAGGAGCUGCAAAUGUUUUUAGGUCACUUGAGCACAAGUCACUUGAAGUCACUGCUUUGGGGAAGUACUUGGCACAAUCAUCCAGUGCUGGCCCUAUGCAGCCACCACAACGGCAACAUCUAGCUCAUUAUUUUAAUAAGGGUCCUUUGAAAUACCUUCAGUGUGAGAGACAGCUAAGAAAAUCCACUCUGGCUUUAUUCUGUCUCAGGCAGAAGCAGUCUUUAUUUAGCAAACUGCUGCUAACAGCUCUGUCUCAUUAGUUGAUGUUUAGGGAACCAGGCUGCAAUUGUUCUGAAGUCUGGUGUUGCAGAAAGAGCCUUGAUAAUGAGGUCUAAAGGAGACAAUUCCUCCUGACAGGCCCACAAUGACCUAGAAAUCCUACUUAAUUCCCUGUCAGUGAGAAGUGCUGAGUAACAGCGAGGCACAGAGGAACUGGGGGCUGAUUUGAGAGGGAGGCUGUGGCCUCUGUUCACACUUUGGGCUGUGAUGCAAGAGCUCGAGGGUGGAAAAGCCAGCACUGCUCAGCCAUGCAGCAGCUCCCCAGACAAAGCAGAUGGGAGGCCUGCCAGGCAGAUAAACAGGGAUUUGCUAUGGGAAGGUUUGUGGCCUCAUCUUUAAAAGACUUGCCACCAUGUAGCACAUGCACAGUGCUGGAAGUGAAAAUCGCUAUGCGUAACACAACAGUAGAAACAGGAUUUGGCCCACUGAAACAGCCUGGCUCUAACUAGGGCUCCUUUGAUGCCCUCUCAGCUGCAGCACCCAGAUACGGUCUUCUCUGUGCAGCAGGGAUUGUCUGCUCUGGAUCAUGCUUGCUCAUAAACUGAGCUGGAAACCCUGCCGAAGACUAAAAGACUCUCACUCAAUUAGCUCAACUUCUGCAAUGUCCCCAGGCCUAGCAUGCCCAACAGCCCACAAACUUCAUCUGCACGGCUACCAGCGCUAUCAACAGACUGCGAUAGGUAUUACCAUGAGGAAGCAUCUCCUAGCCUCUAUCAAGCUCACAUGCUGUCUCCUCUCAGGUGAAUGUGGGAUGAGCAGCAGCUCCCUGUGCUCCACCAGGCAAUGCGCACACCCUGAAAAAGCUGUUAAGCUGUUUGACCCAUUCUGUGCCAACCACUUUUCCCUAUUUCCUUGGAGGAAAAAGCAGCAGGUUGGCACAGGCUAGCACCACAGGCAUUCCACAGCCAGCAUGUGUGCCAUGGUGAGAAACCUCUGGGAUUGAUGGCCCAGAGCCAACCAGGCCAGAAGAUGAGGUGCAGGGACUCAGCUGGAAUGUGGGCCGGAUACAGCUGACCUUGAAGCCCAUCCCCAAUAAGGACCCUUACCAAAGCAUGUGCUUGCCACCUGUUUCAGCCAGCAGACAAAGGACUAAACCAGGAAUUCUGGAAUUGAAUGCACAGUCUGUUAAAGAGUGGUCUAAAGACUUCCAGGCCACGUGAUGCUGUAGCUGAUGUAAUGCUCUCUGCAGACUCAAUGAAGAGGAAUGCAUCUUUGCCCAUCAUGUGCAAGACUGCUACUCCCAUACUGCAGAUGCAGCCCUGUUUAAAGUACAGCUCAAAUCCACAAAGAACUGCUAUAAAAAAAAGAACUGUGGAAAUAAAAUCACCAGCCAAAACAGUGUCUAGAAACAAUCUUAAAGUAACUAAUGAUUUGGGGAGUCUUCAUCUUUGAAAGCCCAGUCUGAGAUGCCACAAAGCAGCGUGAUCUCAAAAGAUGUCAAACAUCUGCCCCCCCGGAUCAGCUCCCUUUUAAAGCAUUUCUAGCAGUGCAUCCAAAUCACUGGCCGCUUUGGACUAUCUUGGCUCUACUUUCUCUUAGCGGAUUCCAGGUCACGUCUGCUCUUUAUCUCUGUUUUCCAGCUGCCGGUUCCAGAAUCUGACCUAACAACUCAUGCCGAGUCCCUUGGAUGUCAGCACCAGAAGAAAGAGUCUGAAGUGGAGAACUUAGCUCACUCCACAUCUCUGCAUGGGCCCUUCUGGCACACAGAGAGGAUCUGCUGCAGAGACAUGAGGAAAAGACAUAUGCUGAAAAAGGAAGGACCAGCUUUAUUUUACCAGCCUGUGUUCCCACUGCAGCUGUGCUUUAAAGACUGCCUUGCAAAGUAGGAAUUAAAUCCAAAGGUGCCUAUGCAUCUUCCUUGCUGUCAUCCCCUUAUCAGUUAUCUCCAGCAUGCUCUGAGCCAGGAGAUGAAAGGAUCGUAACACUUAUCUUGCCACUUAAGAACAUGCUUAACAGCUUGCUGCUAAAGAGGAGGACACUCAAGCCUUGGGAAGCGGCUGUAAAUUCUGCAAAUGGGUUCCCUGGCAUUUCUUUGAAAGGGAUAUUGCUUCUCAAUGAGGGAUACAGAUAUGGAAAGGAAACCAGGGAGGGAGAGAAGGAGAAAAGGCUUUGGAGCAAAGACAGACUUUCCCUUGUGUCAAGAACAUGAAGCUGAGUGACAGAUGUGAGACGUAUGGCAUGUGUCUCUCAGAAGUGACCGAGGAUGAGCCAGGAAUUGAAAAAUUCUUGGGAGACAUUUAAGCAGCCAGACUUAUGACAUGUUUGUCGCUAGACCACAAGAAGCUCCAAAAACAUGCUCUCCGAGAGACCGUGCAGUGUUACAGCCAAGAAUGUUAGUGAUCCCCUUACAUGCUGCGGGCAGAACUGCUGCAUGCAACCCAGCUCCAGCUCCAGCUCCAGCAGUUGAAGCCAGGUCACUACACAAGUCCUCUGUGCCUCUCCCAGAGGGCCAUCCUGCCUGAACCAGCCUCUCUCUGUAAAGACUGAAAUACACAUGGGUUGUGAGACCACGUCACGACAAGUCUUCUGCCUCAUCUCCGGAUAUGACCCUCAUCUCCAGCUCUUUGUAGAACAACUUGUUAUCGUGGUGAAUCUCCCCUUGGCUGGGUCCAACUUGCCUUCGUUUACCCUUAGGAGCUGAGUCGAACUGCCAAAACUGCCAAACUGAGUCUGUUCCAAAUAUCUGAAAAAAAAAAAGACCUCAGAGGAUCUAGGAGCCUGCAGCAGAACGCCACGAGCCUCCCCCCCUACGGAGGAGAACAAUUGCUAUUGUUGACCACCAGCGGGCUGCUGGCAGGCUAUGAGCACGCCGGGAAAGGCUCCUGAGUCCUCCCAUGCGUACAGAGCACAAGUGUCCUCGAAUCUGGCAUCCUCUGUGCCCACGGCAAUGCCCCAGUGAUCCAGCACUGCAGACUUAUUAGCCCUGGCCCUAGCUCAGCUGUUGACACGGAGAACUGGAGAAGCAGUUGGAAACUGGGAGAGGAGGGCACUGGAGCGCCUUAGAAGCUGUUGCCAGCCAAAAGAGCCAAGACUUCAAAGGGCUUAUCUUGCCCUGCGUGGGAGAGCACGCAGUGCCUGCUGGCGAGGACAGCUGUUUGUCGGCCCAGCCCUUCAGAGGAUUUCUGAUAGAAGAGGAGAGGAGUUAGUACCUGGUUUAAUCUCCCCUCCAGCACACACAAGGCUGCUUUGGCAAGCAGAGUGCUGCACUGCCCUGUUUUUUAUGGGAUGCUGAACACUGGCCAAAGCAAAGGAAAACACCAGAUACAUACGGACACUCACUGACUCAAACAGCGAGCUCUGCUGGAGGGAGAACCCAUGAGACUCAGGAGGCGAUUACAGGGCGCUCUGGCUUUCAUCUUCAGAUCAUCAGUUCAAAGAAGCAGCAAGAACUACAGGACUCUGCAACACCUUCCCUGCCAUUAACUGUGUAAGCUGCCGGAAAUCAUUCAAGAGGGUGUUUGCAGCGAAAGCAUCUCAGGAGGAAGUCCAUUAGCAGGCAGCAAUCUCCUUAAUGGAUCCUUGGGGUAAGUAGUAGACACUCCGCCUUGCCUAUGGACACUUAGUUUUUUCCACUGCUGUGAUUCAAGGGCUGCUCGUGCAGCUAGUACCAUCCAAUUCUCUAAGCAAUGCUCCUAAUCUUUAUGGCAGCCCAACAGUGCGAUGAAUUCAUCUUUGGGUAGCUUUCAUUGAAUGAGGACAUAAAUUGGUUUAGCGAGAUAGAUUCUUUGUACAGCACCUAGCAAAGAAAGACACUGAUCCACAAAGAGGAGCCAUGCACAGUACUGUAAUGCAGGUAAAAGCAACAAUAGCUAUCGAAACAGAAUCAAAGCCUUUGUCUUCCGAGGAUAGCUAGCAUCCUAGCAAAACAAAUAAAUUGUGUCUGUGACUGAUCUUGGCCUAAAAGUUCUAGCAGAGCCUUGUGCAGACAAAAUCGUUAAGUCCUCAGCUGUGCAAUCGACUCCACUUGAGCAGGCCUGAGACAGCACACAGCCGCCCUGGAGAGAUGGGAAGUGGCAGGAAUCUUCCUGGUGGGAAUGAAAAGCAGCACUGCUAUGCACAGUGCUAUUGGCCCUGUUAAAAGGUAACCUUGGUUUCCCAAAACAGCUCUUGCUUAUAGCAUUGUUUGCCAUUCUUAUUCUUUAUUGCUAAUGAAACAAAAAUUCUGACUUACUUUGGAUAUGUAGAAUAUUAUGGGUCCCCGUGCAGCAACCACUAAAGGAUUUCAGGAUAAACUAUUGUAACAUUGUUAUGCAUCAUGAGACAUACUGGACAAGACUGUCCAAAAUGACAGUGAGUUAGGUGUUUCAGCUGAGGGGUGAAAGUCAAACAGAAACACUUUGAAAGGACCUGAAUUUUUGGAAUCAUUACGCUUCCACUUUCUGAAAAACAAAUUUUAAAACAGAGUGCACUAAAUUACAUCCCACCUGUAAAAUGUUGGCCAUUUACAUAAGGAAUUGCCUGAAAGUUUAUUUAGGCAGGGAUUUUCAAAAGAGGCUCUGGGAGUUAGGAACACAGCCUAGUAAUGGGCACAAAUCCCCUUAGAUUUCAGUGGAUUUCUCUAGGUCUGCAGAAAAUCUCACCCAGGUUACCCAAAUAUAUUUUUCAUAGCGUUAUUACAAAUCUUGAAAUACUGUCAAAUAUUGUCAAAUAUUACCUUUUAGCCACAUGUCAGAGAGAAAGCACAUCUCAAGUUUUUAAAGCUCAGUGGCUUCAGAUGAGCCAGAUGUGCCCAAAUAAAUUAAGAGGACUCUUAAACACGCGAUGAUCUCACAUUUGCGUUGUAAUAAUCAGGUACAUUGAUGGGAGUAGGUUGGAGAGUGUUCCGGCUUUAAUUCUGAAAUCCCUGGGAUUUAUGACUUAAAAACACAAGAAAACCUUGGGCAUUAUCUGAACACAAUUUCAUUUCAUCUACUUCAUCUAUUACUUUGCUGAAACCUUCAUUUCCCCUUGAGCUUGUAACUGACUCUGUGUUAAGCCCUGUGCGGGGCACUACAAACCUCUCAUGUAUGGGUAUGUAGUGGGGGUGUACCUUACCCCAUAUAUUGUAUUAUUUAUACUGAGAAGUGAUUCUUGCAUCACAGAACAAUUCCUAUUAAUAUUUGAGCUUAUCUCAAGUACCUGUGGGCUGUCAGGUUACAGCAUGUACAUGACUGGUUUUCUGUUUAACUAGUUAAUGCCAGCUUGGUGUUGAUUGGACUCCCAUCGAUGGCUCUCACCAGUUUGCAGGUUAGCUCAUGGGAAUCCAACCCAACUGCUCUCUCAGCUGCCAGUGAAAAUGCAGAAGUGUUUUGGAUUUUUUUUUUGCCAACUCCCUUUUAUAAAAAUUUCUUCCUGCAUCUGUUGGGGGUUUUUUCCUACAAGUUGUGUGGUUUAUCCACAGUUUAUCAACACCAAAACCAAUUUACUUCAGUACCCAAGGCAGCAGAGAAGUAGUUUUGACAAGAUACUCCAGAACUGCACACCCUCUCAAGAGCUGGAUCUUUGCAUUUCAGUGGGCUUUUCCCCUAAGAAAUGUGAAGGCUUGGCUUAGGAUGCUGCUCUAAUAAGGACUGGGCACCAGCUCAAUUAUGCAGCUGUCUUACUGUUUUUGCACUUCCAAGCUGUGUGUUAAACAGCUGAGCUUCAUCAGAGGAGCCACACAAAGCUUUCUCACAGCAUGAAAUGCAGCAAGGCAAUCAAAGUGCUGAGGAAGAAGUGAUAACACAACCUCAGCUGACCGUUCUUGUGCGUGAGACAUCUUUAAUAUACACCUUCCUCAAAGUUUGUCCCUAGAGGAAGCCUGCUUGACCUCCGCUUAUCUAAAGUGAGAAGCAGAAGUUUUCAGGAGUCAGUCAUCCUUGAGGCCAACAUUCAGGUGAAGUUGGUAAGUCAAUGGUAAGUCACGGGAAAAUGAAUUCAAGUCUCCAGACAAUGCCUCUAUCUCAAGUUAAUACUGAGGAGGGUUAGCACUCUGGAGGGUAUUAAGAAAACACAGACCUGAGGUUUCCAUGCAAAAAAAAAUCAACCUGUUUGAUUUUAUUGUCUAUUUUUGGUUUCUGGCACUGAAAACUCCCCAUUUCCAGCAUGAGAGAAUGACGACCGCAACCCAACCAGUAUUUCCUCUGCCGCAAGCACAGCUAUUGACAGAAUUGUACCCACACAGCAAUCCAGCCCCCUUGGGUGAAAAUGAAGGCUGUGUCCAGAACACUCAUUAGCGCAAUUACAACCAUUAAUUGGUUCCUAGGCCGCGUCCUGACUCGGCGGAGGAAUGGGUUCCACUGUGUGGCACACGCCCUUACUCCUCCACUGCAUGGAAGUGACACUUAGUGGGGGAAUUUGGGUUUUGAUCUUGUGUCUUACAAAAACAAGAUACUCCCUAAGGGUUCAGAGAGAAGGCAAAUAGCCUUUAUCAAGUGGAAGGAGAUGCUGCAGUUCAUAUUCUAGUUGAUAGAGAAGCCAGAUUGAGAACAUAAUUAUCCUAAUUAAUUUUAUAUCUUGAAUCUCUUUUUGUAUAAACAGCAGUUUCAAAGCAGGCCUCCAGCUUUUAUGCGCUGAGUAGUUCCUUUAUCCUGUUGAGGGGCAUGUUUGCAAUGAAUGUUCUUGUUUUAUAGAAAAGGACUUGCGAGAACUCAGGAUCCUGAAAAAAUACUCCUUGGUCUGUAGAAAUUUCUCCUGCACUAACUCCCUCCCACCACUUCAGGCCUGCUCUGCAAGGAGUUCAUGAACCUUCCUGCAUCAUCCUCCUCUGGAUCAUCCGGCUUGAUGCAAUCAACUGUGAAGCAUUAGCUCUAAAUAUACAACUGAGAGGCCAGUUCUGCUUCAACACACACUCAUCACAAAGAAUGACAAAGCAGAGAGCACAAUUUGCAAGAGAAACUUAACAAAGAAAUGACUACCUAAAUGAGCUGCAGAGAAAGCAAGAUUAAAUGGGGACUAACCAGUGUUUUAACCUUUGGAGCUGGCUAAAGAUAGGGGCAAACUGUAGGAGACUCAGAAAACAGGCCCACCCAUGGCCACCAUGUACACCAGGUUUUGUCCUCAUUUGUGAAGUUGAAUGCAAAAGUUCAUUCUGCUUUAUUUACUUGUUUAGGUGAUUUUUGGCAACUCGGCAUGUGUUCCUGGUGCAAAUCCUCAGUGUACUGGGCCAAGAGACACGGAAUUGAACUUUACAAGGAAAAUAAACAGUCGGUUGGCAUUAAACACACAGCGAGCAUCUGAAUCCAGACUUAGCACCUCGAUACUCCAAAAUCAAGCAUUCCCAAUUUCUCCUCCUGAAACCAUUCUGCUACAAACCGUGUUAACACAAGGGAGCAGACCGUGGAGUGCAUGGUGGCACCAUCUCCUCCUCCCAGGUGCGUGCUCCAUCCGGGUUUCCAAGUCAUCUUCUCACCCUUCCACUCAUUUUUUUGUAAAUAGUGCCCAAAUCCCACUUCACUGAAAGCCCGAAAGGCUCUGCAAGUUAUUUGGAGCCAGAGAAUUGUUUUGUUUUUUUUUCCUGAGAUAACCUGUUUGAAAUAUUUCAAUAAACUGCAAUCUUGAGUUAACGC